This 222-nucleotide unclassified non-coding RNA is filed under the name Hevea brasiliensis (rubber tree). The record is from RNAcentral. Lineage: Eukaryota; Viridiplantae; Streptophyta; Magnoliopsida; Malpighiales; Euphorbiaceae.
GUUUUAAGAAAAAUCUCUCACUUUCUCUUUCUCCCAAUUAUAAUAAGAAAACUUUCUUUCUUCCUUGUUUUUUUUUUAAAAAAUAAUAUUAUAAUUUAGUAUAUGGUUGAAGAUAUUUGAUAUAUGUCACUCAUGUUUCAUCAUCAGCCUAGUGUUAGAAGUCACUUCCUUUAACAAGAUUUUAUUGAAAAAAUAAAUAAAAUUGAACUCCAAAAAAAAAAG